Molecule: small nucleolar RNA, 107 nt
Organism: Sorghum bicolor (sorghum)
Lineage: Eukaryota; Viridiplantae; Streptophyta; Magnoliopsida; Poales; Poaceae
Rfam family: Plant small nucleolar RNA R71
About the family: R71 is a member of the C/D box family of snoRNAs containing the C (UGAUGA) and D (CUGA) box motifs. Multiple nearly identical copies of this snoRNA have been identified in Arabidopsis, and it is thought to function as a 2'-O-ribose methylation guide for 18S ribosomal RNA.
Source: Rfam
AUUCCAUGAUGGGGACAUUCUAGGAUGUAGUCUUGAAAGCGCUCCCAUGCUUCUGGAACAGAUUCAUCAUUUUGUUGCUGAAAGCUUGUAAUCUUCCCACGGAUAGC